UCCUUGCUCGUCUAGUGGUUAAGAUAUGGCUCUUUCAUCUUGACCGUUUUCAUAACGAUGUGCAGCUAAGAUCGGGGUUCGAUUCCCCGGCAGGGAA
Melanopsichium pennsylvanicum is the source of this 97-nucleotide non-coding RNA. NCBI's taxonomy places the organism in Eukaryota, Fungi, Basidiomycota, Ustilaginomycetes, Ustilaginales. The record is from the annotation of a GenBank genome assembly.